GCAGCGGAGCGUGUGGUUUAAUCGUUGCUACACGAAGAACCUUACCUGGGUUUGACAUAUAGGUUGUAGGGAACUGAAAGGGACGACCCUUCGGGGAGCCUAUACAGGUGUUGCAUGGCUGUCGUCAGCUCGUGUCGUGAGAUGUUCGGUUAAGUCCGCUAACGAGCGCAACCCUCGUCGUAUGUUAUAUGUGUCAUACGAGACUGCCGGUAAAAGCCGGAGGAAGGUGAGGAUGAUGUCAAGUCAGCAUGACCUUUAUAUCCAGGGCUACACACACGCUACAAUGGUCUGUACAAUGGGUAGCCAAGCCGCGAGGCGGAGCCAAUCCUGAAAGCAGGCCUCAGUUCAGAUUGCAGUCUGCAACUCGACUGCAUGAAGCCGGAGUUGCUAGUAACCGCAGGUCAGCAAUACUGCGGUGAAUACGUUCCCGGGUCUU
Molecule: ribosomal RNA, 436 nt
Filed under: uncultured Anaerolineaceae bacterium
Lineage: Bacteria; Bacillati; Chloroflexota; Anaerolineae; Anaerolineales; Anaerolineaceae
Description: bacterial SSU rRNA
Rfam family: Bacterial small subunit ribosomal RNA
Source: RNAcentral